Molecule: long non-coding RNA, 701 nt
Filed under: Chlamydomonas reinhardtii
Lineage: Eukaryota; Viridiplantae; Chlorophyta; Chlorophyceae; Chlamydomonadales; Chlamydomonadaceae
Description: long non-coding RNA (CREI_LNC000253)
Source: RNAcentral
CUGGCGCCGCCCUCUCACUCCUACGCAUACGCUCCAGGCCGCCUACACCGUAGCCAACACGGCCAUUGAAGAGGCUGACAGAACAGAUCUGAAAACAUCGAGUCGCCAUCAGGCACGCUGAACGUGCAGUGUCCUAUCAUAGGGCGCGACACAGGGGCAUCACCGUCAUUGGCAGAAGUACUGCACCGUGGAUCCACAGCGUUGUGUGCUCACCACGGCGCAGGCCGGUGAUAGGUGAUACCACAACGCUAACCAACGAGAGAUGUCUCAGGACUCAGGAUCGCAGAGGCGAGGGACGAGCGGGCACGUCCUGCGGUGCUUACCCACGGUCGGGGCCGUAGAAGGCCUCAUUGCUGGCCUUGCUCCACCAGCCAGCCUUCGCACUGCAAGGAGCAGAUGCGAGCACCCGAUUUCGUAGCCCGCCCUGUUGACACACGCGAAACCCUAUCCCCCAACACCUAACACUCUAGCUGGGCAGUUGCCCAAGCCCCCGCGUUCAGGCUGCAGCUGCUGAGCUGCUGCCCGUGUGCUGCCGGCGUGCCCAGCACCAUGGCCCACGGGAGCACACCCUGCGCUCCGUCCAGACUGGCGCCUCGGUGUCGCGCUUGCACUGCAGAGCAUUCAAACCUUCACAACCCGCGCAAGAAGGCCCAGCGGGGCCUUGAGCCGCGCGGUAAUCGCGACAUGUCGCGAUGUUCGUG